UGCCCAUUUGAGGGGGAUACCAGUUGGAAACGACUGUUAAUACCGCACAAUAUCUGUGGAUUAAAGGUGGCUUUCGGGCUGUCGCAGAUGGACGAGCCUGCGUUGGAUUAGCUAGUUGGUGGGGUAAGGGCCCACCAAGGCUACGAUCCAUAGCUGAUUUGAGAGGAUGAUCAGCCACAUUGGGACUGAGACACGGCCCAAACUCCUACGGGAGGCAGCAGUGGGGAAUAUUGGACAAUGGGGGCAACCCUGAUCCAGCAAUGCCAUGUGUGUGAAGAAGGCCCUAGGGUUGUAAAGCACUUUAGUUGGGGAGGAAAGCCUCAAGGUUAAUAGCCUUGGGGAGGACGUUACCCAAAGAAUAAGCACCGGCUAACUCCGUGCCAGCAGCCGCGGUAAUACGGGGGGUGCAAGCGUUAAUCGGAAUUACUGGGCGUAAAGGGUCUGUAGGUGGUUUGUUAAGUCAGAUGUGAAAGCCCAGGGCUCAACCUUGGAACUGCAUUUGAUACUGGCAAACUAGAGUACGGUAGAGGAAUGGGGAAUUUCUGGUGUAGCGGUGAAAUGCGUAGAGAUCAGAAGGAACACCAAUGGCGAAGGCAACAUUCUGGACCGAUACUGACACUGAGGGACGAAAGCGUGGGGAUCAAACAGGAUUAGAUACCCUGGUAGUCCACGCUGUAAACGAUGAGUACUAGCUGUUGGAGUCGGUGUAAAGGCUCUAGUGGCGCAGCUAACGCGAUAAGUACUCCGCCUGGGGACUACGGCCGCAAGGCUAAAACUCAAAGGAAUUGACGGGGACCCGCACAAGCGGUGGAGCAUGUGGUUUAAUUCGAUGCAACGCGAAGAACCUUACCUGGCCUUGGCAUCCUGCGAACUUUCUAGAGAUAGAUUGGUGCCUUCGGGAACGCAGUGACAGGUGCUGCACGGCUGUCGUCAGCUCGUGUUGUGAAAUGUUGGGUUAAGUCCCGCAACGAGCGCAACCCCUAUUGAUAGUUACCAUCAUUAAGUUGGGUACUCUAUUGAGACUGCCGCUGACAAGGCGGAGGAAGGUGGGGACGACGUCAAGUCAUCAUGGCCCUUACGACCAGGGCUACACACGUGCUACAAUGGGUAUUACAGAGGGCCGCGAAGGUGCGAGCUGGAGCGAAACUCAAAA
RNAcentral lists this ribosomal RNA (1153 nucleotides) under uncultured Francisella sp. RNAcentral describes it as "bacterial SSU rRNA". It matches the Rfam family "Bacterial small subunit ribosomal RNA", at positions 127 to 1279 of the family's 1533-position model. Lineage: Bacteria; Pseudomonadati; Pseudomonadota; Gammaproteobacteria; Thiotrichales; Francisellaceae. The record is from RNAcentral.